AUUUAACUGACAAGUCCCAAACAGGACUAAAUGCGUGUCCUGUAU
RNAcentral lists this non-coding RNA (45 nucleotides) under Schistosoma mansoni. The record is from RNAcentral. Lineage: Eukaryota; Metazoa; Platyhelminthes; Trematoda; Strigeidida; Schistosomatidae.